This 253-nucleotide ribosomal RNA is filed under the name uncultured bacterium. Its description in RNAcentral is "partial 16S ribosomal RNA". It matches the Rfam family "Bacterial small subunit ribosomal RNA", at positions 524 to 776 of the family's 1533-position model. The record is from RNAcentral.
UACAGAGGUGGCAAGCGUUGUUCGGAAUUACUGGGCGUAAAGGGCGCGUAGGCGGUCUUGUAAGUCUCGUGUGAAAUCCCUCGGCUUAACUGAGGAACUGCACGGGAUACUGCAUGACUUGAGAUCGGGAGAGGGAAGCGGAAUUCCGGGUGUAGCGGUGAAAUGCGUAGAUAUCCGGAGGAACACCGGUGGCGAAGGCGGCUUCCUGGGCCAAUACUGACGCUCAUGCACGAAAGCGUGGGGAGCAAACAGG